GACGAACGCUGGCGGCGUGCUUAACACAUGCAAGUCGAACGGAAAGGCCCUGCUUUUGUUGGGUGCUCGAUUGGCGAACGGGGGAGUAACACGUGUGUAUCCUGCCCUUGACUGUGGGAUAUCUUCUGGAAACUGGGGCUAAUACCGGGUAGGAGCUCCUGCUGCAUGGUGUGGGUUGGAGAGUUUCGGCGGUUGGGGAUGGACUCGCGGCUUAUCAGCUUGUUGGUGGGGUAGUGGCUUACCAAGGCUUCGACGGGUAGCCGGCCUGAGAGGGUGACCGGCCACAUUGGGACUGAGAUACGGCCCAGACUCCUACGGGAGGCAGCAGUGGGGAAUAUUGCACAAUGGGCGGAAGCCUGAUGCAGCAACGCCGCGUGCGGGAUGACGGCCUUCGGGUUGUAAACCGCUUUCGCCUGUGACGAAGAGUGAGUGACGGUAAUGGGUAAAGAAGCACCGGCUAACUACGUG
Molecule: ribosomal RNA, 468 nt
Filed under: uncultured bacterium
Lineage: Bacteria
Description: partial 16S ribosomal RNA
Rfam family: Bacterial small subunit ribosomal RNA
Source: RNAcentral